Non-coding RNA from Trichoderma gamsii, 73 nucleotides. The record is from Rfam. Lineage: Eukaryota; Fungi; Ascomycota; Sordariomycetes; Hypocreales; Hypocreaceae.
UAUGCUGUUGACUAAUAGGUAAGUCAUAAAUUUUUGGUAUUUACUAAUGAGUGUUCGAAUCACUCCAGCAUAA